GUUGUUGAGUGUUUACUUCCCAAGUGACAACUGAGUAAUCACGUUCAGGUACAAUAAAAAAUGGCAAGCCAGAAUGUGCUAGCUAUUUGCCAAUUUGUCGUAACAUGCAUGUAAAGAGAUGGCAGCAGUUUAUGCACAUUUCUUGACUUCAACAGAUGACUAUCCAGAUUCAAUUGGGACCGUUAAGGAGCACAAAGGUAGAUUGAAAAUUACCAGCGAGUCCAUCUCCUACUUCGACUGCAAUGUAAUGCUGAGUCUCACUUUCUUUCUUCCGUCUCUUUUCUCUUCUUAUCAGAGCAAAGAUGCAUUUCAGGCGAUGAACUCAACCAUUGCUCUGGGUUUGUGUGUGUGUGUGUGUGUGUGUGAGAGAGAGAGAGAGGGUGAGAGAGGGAGAAGUUGUUAGCUUUAAGCUGUCUUGUGAUUUCGUUUCCACUUGAAUCUGCUAUAUGACAUCUUCCAUGUUGUUUGUAUUACACCGUCGCGUCUCAUGUAACUUAUGAGGUUGGAGAUGGACAGCUUUUGUUUGUCUUCAGCCUUUACGUAACCUUUCCUAAGAUAUGUGCUUUCACUGCUUACUUGUGGAUCUGAAAGUUUUUCUUUGAUUAGAUGGUGUUGGUUGUAACAGAAUAGUAGAAUGCAUUGGCUAGCAGAUGUGAGGUUAUUCGGCUUUAAGUAUACAAUAAACGAAUGCAUUUACUUGACAGUGUUUGUAAUCUGCAUGAAAAGUUUAUCCUCUAAAGAAGCAAAUUGCGUCCUGUCCUGUGCAUACGCCCAACUGUUUAUUAUAUGGAAGAAAAAUAUAAGAUGCCAACCUGAUACACUCUUCCUAGAGUAAAAUUGUCAUUUCCUGCUUGUGGUAUUUACUUUGCAUUCACUGAACAUGCGUAUCUACUCUGUAUAACAAAGGUUCCGAUACAUAAUUUCAUUCACAAUUCUGUAUGGGAGGUUGGAUUGUCCUAUCCUUCAUUCACUCUUGAUUAUCUUAUGAUAACCGACUAGUAUUGAAGUUGAUGUUGUCGCAUUCGAUUGUUUUUGAAGAAUUCUGGGAAGCAAAAAAUGUUUGAGAAUGCAUUGAACCUGCAUGUUGUAGAUGUGCCUACUAACAUUUCAUGACAUUGUCAGUCUUUUCAAGUUAGUAAUAACAUGGUAUUCUGGAGUUGCUGAUAACAAUCAGCUUAGUUAUAAUUGUUGAUCGAACUGGGUGUAGCUUUUAUGUUAUACUCCCUCCGUCCCAAAUUAAUUGACUUACAUUCAUCUAGAUACGGAUGUAUCUAACACUAAAACAUGGUUAGUCAUGUCCGUAUGUAGACAAAUCUGAGUCAACUAAUUCGGGACGGAGGGAGUAUUGUUCAGUGAGCUUUUUAUAGAGGUACAAGCUGGUCGUUGUGUUCAGAGGCUUGAUAUGACUGUUAACUCUAUAUUGUUUGGUUGUGUAUAUUUGCAAAUGAAUAUUGAUGCUAAUCACAUAGAGGAAAUAUGCAGGUCAUGGUCUUAAUCACGUGCGAUGGAUUAACAUAUUUCCUUCUUUUUGCUAUGAUUGCAAUGUGGCUGCUGAUGACUCACUGUCUUCAAAAUGCUUUUUAUUGAUCAAUAAAACUAUUAUCAAGCCCUGUUAAACAAUAACAAGCUUUGAUGCUCUGUUUUCAGUGAGAUUGCGAAGAACUUGCCACUUGCACCAGUAAAUCUCCAUUGCACUAUGCCUGCUGAAGAUGCAAUUAAAAUCAAAGAAGGUGAAUCUGGGAGACAGCCUUGUAGAGACACCUUUGAAAG
This 1770-nucleotide long non-coding RNA is filed under the name Hordeum vulgare. Its description in RNAcentral is "long non-coding RNA (HVUL_LNC000346)". The stretch from base 1215 to 1349 matches the Rfam family "MIR1120/MIR1122 microRNA precursor family". The record is from RNAcentral. Lineage: Eukaryota; Viridiplantae; Streptophyta; Magnoliopsida; Poales; Poaceae.